This 398-nucleotide ribosomal RNA is filed under the name Wolbachia endosymbiont of Phyllonorycter scitulella. RNAcentral's name for it is "bacterial SSU rRNA". It matches the Rfam family "Bacterial small subunit ribosomal RNA", at positions 1012 to 1407 of the family's 1533-position model. The record is from RNAcentral. Lineage: Bacteria; Pseudomonadati; Pseudomonadota; Alphaproteobacteria; Rickettsiales; Anaplasmataceae.
GGGUCGGUUCGGCCGGGUUUCACACAGGUGUUGCAUGGCUGUCGUCAGCUCGUGUCGUGAGAUGUUGGGUUAAGUCCCGCAACGAGCGCAACCCUCAUCCUUAGUURCCAUCAGGUAAUGCUGGGGACUUUAAGGAAACUGCCAGUGAUAAACUGGAGGAAGGUGGGGAUGAUGUCAAGUCAUCAUGGCCCUUAUGGAGUGGGCUACACACGUGCUACAAUGGUGKCUACAAUGGGCUGCAAAGUGCGCAAGGCUWAACUAAUCCCUUAAAAGMCAUCUCAGUUCGGAUUGUACUCUGCAACUCGAGUGCAUGAAGUUGGAAUCGCUAGUAAUCGUGGAUCAGCACGCCACGGUGAAUACGUUCUCGGGUCUUGUACACACUGCCCGUCACGCCAUGG